GAGGUAAAACUCACUGGAGGACCGAACCAGGGCACGUUGAAAAGUGCUUGGAUGACUUGUGGGUAGCGGAGAAAUUCCAAACGAACUUGGAGAUAGCUGGUUCUCUCCGAAAUAGCUUUAGGGCUAGCGUCGAUGUUAAGUCUCUUGGAGGUAGAGCACUGUUUGGGUGAGGGGUCCAUCCCGGAUUACCAAUCUCAGAUAAACUCCGAAUGCCAACGAGAUAUAAUCGGCAGUCAGACUGCGAGUGCUAAGAUCCGUAGUCGAAAGGGAAACAGCCCAGACCACCAGCUAAGGUCCCAAAAUAUAUGUUAAGUGGAAAAGGAUGUGGGGUUGCACAGACAACUAGGAUGUUAGCUUAGAAGCAGCUAUUCAUUCAAAGAGUGCGUAAUAGCUCACUAGUCGAGUGACCCUGCGCCGAAAAUGUACCGGGGCUAAAACAUAUUACCGAAGCUGUGGAUACCUUUAUAGGUAUGGUAGGAGAGCGUUCUAUGUGCGAAGAAGGUGUACCGUGAGGAGUGCUGGAGCGCAUAGAAGUGAGAAUGCCGGUAUGAGUAGCGAAAGACAGGUGAGAAUCCUGUCCACCGUAAGACUAAGGUUUCCAGGGGAAGGCUCGUCCGCCCUGGGUUAGUCGGGACCUAAGGAGAGACCGAAAGGUGUAUCCGAUGGACAACAGGUUGAUAUUCCUGUACUAGAGUAUAUAGUGAUGGAGGGACGCAGUAGGCUAACUAAACCAGACGAUUGGAAGUGUCUGGCCAAGCAGUGAGG
This 765-nucleotide ribosomal RNA is filed under the name Streptococcus sp. HMSC10E12. RNAcentral's name for it is "bacterial LSU rRNA". It matches the Rfam family "Bacterial large subunit ribosomal RNA", at positions 753 to 1524 of the family's 2925-position model. Lineage: Bacteria; Bacillati; Bacillota; Bacilli; Lactobacillales; Streptococcaceae. The record is from RNAcentral.